UACAGGGGGUGCAAACGUUGCUCGGAAUCAUUGGGCGUAAAGCGCACGUUGGCGGUUCGUUAUGUCGGAUGUGAAAGCCCUUGGCUUAACCGAGGAAGUGCAUCCGAAACUGGCGAGCUAGAGUACUAAAGAGGAUCGCGGAAUUCCCGGUGUAGAGGUGAAAUUCGUAGAUAUCGGGAGGAACACCGGUGGCGAAGGCGGCGAUCUGGGUAGAUACUGAUGCUGAGGUGCGAAAGCGUGGGGGAGCAAACAGG
This 254-nucleotide ribosomal RNA is filed under the name uncultured bacterium. RNAcentral describes it as "partial 16S ribosomal RNA". It matches the Rfam family "Bacterial small subunit ribosomal RNA", at positions 524 to 776 of the family's 1533-position model. The record is from RNAcentral.